This 76-nucleotide transfer RNA is filed under the name Enterobacter kobei. Its description in RNAcentral is "tRNA-Met(cat)". It matches the Rfam family "tRNA". Rfam says of the family: Transfer RNA (tRNA) molecules are approximately 80 nucleotides in length. The record is from RNAcentral. Lineage: Bacteria; Pseudomonadati; Pseudomonadota; Gammaproteobacteria; Enterobacterales; Enterobacteriaceae.
ACCCUUUAACUCAGUUGGUCAGAGCGAGUGACUCAUAAUCGCCUGGUCGCUGGUUCAAGUCCCGCAAAAGGUACCA